This is a long non-coding RNA of Conger conger (European conger), 362 nucleotides long. RefSeq lists it as uncharacterized. Lineage: Eukaryota; Metazoa; Chordata; Actinopteri; Anguilliformes; Congridae. The transcript has 3 exons. The record is from RefSeq and is a predicted model, not a curated record.
UGAAAAACCGGUUGUCAGAGGAGGAACUCAAGCCUGUACUUAAUCUCAUUAAAGAAAAACUGAAGAUCUUUACUAAGAAUGAACGAGAGUGUAAGAAAACCGCAGAACACGUGAGGAGUCAAACCCAGCACACAGAGAGGCAGAUAAAGGCAGAUUUUGAAAGGCUGCACCAGUUCCUACGAGAGGAAGAGGAGGCCAGACUAGCUGUACUGAAGGAGGAAGGGGAGGUGAAGAGUCGGAUCAUGGAGGAGAAAUUGGCAGACAUCACAAGACACCUCUCCACCCUUACAGACAAAAUCACCGCUAUAGAGAAGGCCAUGGACACUGAAGACACCUCCUUUUUAAAGGUAGGAGCUUGAUUU